Non-coding RNA from Aegilops tauschii subsp. strangulata, 1582 nucleotides. NCBI's taxonomy places the organism in Eukaryota, Viridiplantae, Streptophyta, Magnoliopsida, Poales, Poaceae. The record is from RefSeq and is a predicted model, not a curated record.
CUCCUCCCAUCGCACCCCUCCUCCCCCCAUCUCCUCGUUGCCGCCAUCGACGGCGCUCCCCUCGAUCCCUCCCACCGCCGUCUCCCUCCCUUAGAUCGAGCUCCCCAUCCCCUCUCCCUCCCACCUCUCGAAGCUCCCGCGUCCCACCGCCGCGCAUCGUGCUCCUCUGCAGCUUCUGCGGCGACGCAGCCGCCGCUGACUACUCUCCUUCCUCCUUCCUCCAGCACUACUCUCCAACCUCGCCUCUCGCUUAGCCGCCCCGCGCCCCGCGCUCGCCGGGGCCCCGUAGCGCCGCUCAGUCCCUCACGCUCAGGCCCAACGAGGUCGCGCACGCGCUCACCGGCACACCCCUCUUCACCGUCUGCAACUCCAGCAACGCGUUCGUGUUCGUCUCCGCUCCCUCGGCCUCCUCUGCUUCUGUUCCGAGGACGUCGAUGCCCUCCUCUUCGUCCGAGGUCGUCGGAACCACGACGGCCGGCGCGCCCGUGCGUGAGGAGAUGAUGACGACCCCGACAAGCCAUUCAGGGCCAGCAAGAAGGCCACCGCCCCAGCACCACCAGCAGCAGUACCCUCAAGGGACGAGACCACCGGCGCCCACCAGGAUCUCCGCCGCUACAUCUUGGUAACGAUCACGUGAGAAAGCACCGCAGGUGGGCGGCUGCAUCUGAGGCUGAGGAAUUUGGUUCGGGGUGAGCGGGGGAUGGCUUAAUCCUAGAAGGGAUCUGAUGCGCUACUGCAGACAUACGAACACAGGAGGGGUCCAGAUUUGCCGUUUGCCAGAUUCGCGCUCGUGCCGUAGGUUGCCAGCGAAGUACCUCAGCCUGUUCAGGCAUCUUUCAUACAUUGAGCAACAACGGCGAACUCGAGCGGAUGAUGGAAGGCCUCGGUUUGGAGCCAAGAAAAGGCGUGGACGAGGCCAUUUCUGCAAGGCCGCCCGCAAAUUGCUGCAUGCAACAUCGAUGUAGCUCUGAUCCAGAACCUGGUUCUUGGAUGCAACACGCAUUGUCCUGGACAGGUAUAGCCCCGGUCAUACCAUAAUAUGUUAGUGCUCAGUCAUGUAUGCAUCUCCAUGUUGCAAGCCUGCCAUACUUGAUAGGAUCAGUACUUAUUAACUACUCAUAUGUGCUUGUAGAGAAGAAUACAAUUAUUAUUUAACCAGUCCAGAUUUUUAACAUUUGAUGUGCUUCCAAGGGACACAGAUCUCUACUCUUCUAUAUAAUCCACACUUUGUUCUGGAAGCAAGUCAGUUGUACCAUGCUGUUACAUCACAACAAGGUGUCAUUUAUCACAACAAGAUCAGGAUCUAAUGUUGUUGAGGUGGCUGCUGUUGUGACCAUGAUCAGAAGAAGCCUGGAGAUGUGCACAAUAGUUUUAGUUGAUGUUGCCACCAUGUUUUGGUGCAUGUGUAUUUCUUUUUGAUUGUAUGCACACUUGAUGGAUCGUGUAGACGUGUAUGUGCUGUUGUGAGUUUCAUUGAGUGAUUUCUGGAUUUGAUCAUUUAAUUGUGAGAAUUAUUGAUUGUUUGCUGUUGAAAUGUGUAAAAGAAAUCUGUGAAUGAAAAGGCUGAAUGUUCUAUUGGAUC